Molecule: ribosomal RNA, 566 nt
Filed under: Fusarium armeniacum
Lineage: Eukaryota; Fungi; Ascomycota; Sordariomycetes; Hypocreales; Nectriaceae
Description: eukaryotic LSU rRNA
Rfam family: 5.8S ribosomal RNA (bases 209-362)
Source: RNAcentral
UAGAGGAAGUAAAAGUCGUAACAAGGUCUCCGUUGGUGAACCAGCGGAGGGAUCAUUACCGAGUUUACAACUCCCAAACCCCUGUGAACAUACCUUUAUGUUGCCUCGGCGGAUCAGCCCGCGCCCCGUAAAACGGGACGGCCCGCCGCAGGAAACCCUAAACUCUGUUUUUAGUGGAACUUCUGAGUAUAAAAAACAAAUAAAUCAAAACUUUCAACAACGGAUCUCUUGGUUCUGGCAUCGAUGAAGAACGCAGCAAAAUGCGAUAAGUAAUGUGAAUUGCAGAAUUCAGUGAAUCAUCGAAUCUUUGAACGCACAUUGCGCCCGCCAGUAUUCUGGCGGGCAUGCCUGUUCGAGCGUCAUUUCAACCCUCAAGCCCAGCUUGGUGUUGGGAUCUGUUUGUCACAAAACAGUCCUCAAAUUGAUUGGCGGUCACGUCGAGCUUCCAUAGCGUAGUAAUUUACACAUCGUUACUGGUAAUCGUCGCGGCCACGCCGUUAAACCCCAACUUCUGAAUGUUGACCUCGGAUCAGGUAGGAAUACCCGCUGAACUUAAGCAUAUCAAU